AUGGCGGCAGCGAACGGCGCCAAGGGGUUUGAGGUGCCGGAACUGGACAUCAAGUUCACCAAGCUCUUCAUCAAUGGCCAGUUCGUCGACGCGGCUUCCGGCAAGACGUUCGAGACCCGGGACCCACGCACCGGCGAGGUGAUCGCCAAGAUCGCCGAGGGAGACAAGGCCGACAUCGACCUCGCCGUGAAGGCCGCCCGCGAGGCCUUCGACAACGGCCCAUGGCCCAGAAUGCCCGGCUGUGCAAGGGCCCGGAUCAUGCACAGGUUCGCGGACCUGGUGGACCAGCACGUCGAGGAGCUGGCGGCGCUGGACACGGUGGACGCCGGCAAGCUAUUCCUGAUGGGUAAGAUGAUGGACAUCCCCGGAGGCGCCAACCUGCUCCGCUACUACGCCGGCGCCGCCGACAAGAUCCACGGCGAGACGCUCAAGAUGGCGCGCCCGCUCCACGGCUACACGCUCAAGGAGCCCGUCGGCGUCGUGGGCCACAUCGUGCCAUGGAACUACCCCACCACCAUGUUCUUCUUCAAGGUCAGCCCCGCGCUCGCCGCCGGCUGCACCAUGGUCGUCAAGCCCGCCGAGCAGACGCCCCUCUCCGCGCUCUUCUACGCCCACCUCGCCAAGGAGGCCGGCAUCCCCGACGGCGUCCUCAACGUCGUGCCGGGAUUCGGCCCGACGGCCGGCGCGGCCAUGGCCUCUCACAUGGACGUCGACAAGAUCAGCUUCACGGGAUCCACGGAGGUCGGGCGGCUGGUCAUGCAGGCGGCGGCCAUGAGCAACCUCAAGCCCGUCUCGCUGGAGCUGGGGGGCAAGUCCCCCGUCAUCGUGUUUGACGACGCCGACGUUGACAUGGCCGUGAACCUCGUGAACAUGGCCACCUACAUGAACAAGGGCGAGAUCUGUGUCGCUGGCACGCGCAUAUACGUGCAGGAAGGGAUCUACGACGCCUUUGUGAAGAAGUCGGUCGAGCUUGCCAAGAAAUCGGUGGUCGGAGAUCCUUUCAACCCCAACGUACAUCAAGGCCCUCAGGUUGACAAGGAUCAAUACGAGAAGGUGCUCAAGUACAUCGACGUCGGUAAGAGCGAAGGCGCCACCCUGCUCACCGGAGGGAAGCCUUGCAGCGACAAGGGUUACUACAUCGAGCCCACCAUCUUCACCAACGUCACCGAUGACAUGGCGAUUGCGCAAGAGGAAAUCUUCGGCCCGGUCAUGGCGCUCAUGAAAUUCAAGACGGUGGAGGAGGUGAUUCAGAAGGCCAACAGCACCCGGUAUGGCCUGGCCGCCGGCGUGGUGACCAAGAACAUCGACACCAUGAACACCGUGUCGCGGUCGGUCAGGUCCGGUGUCGUCUGGGUUAACUGCUACUUCGCCUUCGACCCCGACGCCCCGUUCGGCGGCUGCAAGAUGAGCGGCUUCGGCAAGGACAUGGGCACGGAUGCUCUCGAGAAGUACCUGCACACCAAGACGGUGGUCACUCCGCUCUACAACACGCCCUGGCUGUGA
RNAcentral lists this ribosomal RNA (1503 nucleotides) under Triticum aestivum (bread wheat). Its description in RNAcentral is "partial small subunit ribosomal RNA". Lineage: Eukaryota; Viridiplantae; Streptophyta; Magnoliopsida; Poales; Poaceae. The record is from RNAcentral.